RNAcentral lists this ribosomal RNA (460 nucleotides) under uncultured bacterium. Its description in RNAcentral is "partial 16S ribosomal RNA". It matches the Rfam family "Bacterial small subunit ribosomal RNA", at positions 338 to 795 of the family's 1533-position model. The record is from RNAcentral.
CCUACGGGAGGCAGCAGUGAGGAAUAUUGGUCAAUGGGCGCGAGCCUGAACCAGCCAAGUCGCGUGAGGGAUGAAGGUUCUAUGGAUCGUAAACCUCUUUUAUAAGGGAAUAAAGUGUGGGACGUGUCCUAUUUUGUAUGUACCUUAUGAAUAAGGAUCGGCUAACUCCGUGCCAGCCGCCGCGGUAAAACGGAGAAUCCGAGCGUUAUCCGGAUUUAUUGGGGUUAAAGGGUGCGUAGGCGGCCUUUUAAGUCAGCGGGGAAAGUCUGUGGCUCAACCAUAGAAUUGCCGUGUAAACUGGGUGGCUUGAGUAUGUUUGAGGCAGGCGGAAUGCGUGGUGUAGCGGUGAAAUGCUUAGAUAUCACGCAGAACCCCGAUUGCGAAGGCAGCCUGCCAAGCCAUGACUGACGCUGAUGCACGAAAGCGUGGGGAUCAAACAGGAUUAGAUACCCGUGUAGUC